UGCUGUGGUGACGUCAACGGCGUUAGCGGUAAUUUUUUCCCUAAACAGGUAGAGUAUCAAAGCGAUACUACAUAAAGAAGCUUGUUUUCGCUUGCAUUCACACUGACGCACUGAGCGCCAAACUUGUUCAUCUUGCUGUUUAUUUGGGAUCAGACAAGGUCGAAAGCAUUAUAAAGGUAAAAUUAACUGCUGUGCUGUUGCUGUUGAAUUAAAGUAAAACAAACCAUGAAAGCAGGUCUCGUUUUUGUUCUGGCGCUAACCACAGUUUAUUUGCUGUCAAAUUCGCUUGUUGCGUCAAAACCAGAAUUUUGCUAUCUUAAACCAGACCCUGGUCCCUGCAAUGGCUACUUCCCACGAUACUACUCCGAUCCCGAUUCAAGCAGUUGAAGGAUAUUUAUAUAUGGCGGCUGUCUCGGAAACGCCAACAACUUUGAAACUCUUUCUGAAUGUUUAUUUACGUGUGGCUAGUUAAAGGAUGAGAACGAAAGAAAGCGAGAAUGAAGAAAUUUUGAUACGGGGGAAUAACAGGGGGAAUGUAGUUUGCUUUAUUGGUCUACUCUAGUUUGCUAUCGGUGUAUUAGUACUACUCUUCUUUCUUAUUAUAAUAUAAUAAAAAAUGCU
Long non-coding RNA from Dendronephthya gigantea, 621 nucleotides. RefSeq lists it as uncharacterized. The transcript has 5 exons. Lineage: Eukaryota; Metazoa; Cnidaria; Anthozoa; Malacalcyonacea; Nephtheidae. The record is from RefSeq and is a predicted model, not a curated record.